This is a long non-coding RNA of Anolis carolinensis (green anole), 4669 nucleotides long. RefSeq lists it as uncharacterized. Lineage: Eukaryota; Metazoa; Chordata; Lepidosauria; Squamata; Anolidae. The transcript is spliced from 3 exons. The record is from RefSeq and is a predicted model, not a curated record.
UAGGACAGGCAUGGACAAACUUGGGCCCUUCAGGUUUUUUUGGAUACAGUAUAUUAUUUGAGAACACAGAAAUGCUGGACCACUCUAACAAUCACCAUGUCGGGCUACACAGAGAAGCCACUGAAAUCCACAAGCAUGUGGACAAUUUCAACAGAAAGGAGGAAACCAAGAAAAUGAACAAAAUCUGAGCUCCAGCAUUAAAUAAAAACUCCAAAAACAGGACAAUAAAUAAACAGCAACACUCUGAAAACAGAAAUUCCAAACAUGAAUCAACCUCCCAACAAAGGAUUCCUUCAGGAGUCCUUGUGCAUUUGCAACUGGAGGAAGGGACAAAACACCAUGGUAAUAAACAAGAUUGAUACCAUGAUCAGAAGAAUAUCUGCUUUAGUGAAUUCAGUGGCACUUAUGCCUGAGCACAAAGUAGCACCUAAGUUGUCAUGUUCAGACUACACGAAAAGAUUAUUUGCCAGUGUGGUGCAAUGGCUGGAGGAUUGGACUCUGACUCCAGAUGCCUGUGUUUGAAUUCCUGCUUGACCAUGGCUGUCCACUGAGAGACCUUGGCCACAUCACACUCUCAGCUACAAAGGCAAUGGCAAACUCCUUAUGAACAAAUCUUGUCAAGAAAACCCCAUGAUAGGGUUGCCAUAAUCUGGAAAUGACUUGAAGGCACACAACUGGGAAGAAUCUUCUGUUGAUGUAAGAUGUUGAGCAAUAGAAUAGAUUCCCCAGAAGGUCCAAUGAAGCUUUUUAAGAAGAGGUUUGUUGGCUAUGUUUCAAGCAUGGUGACAUGGCUGAUGAUUGACAGUAGACUGGAUUUGGUGACCUUCCCAUCAUCUCCCAGUUCUAAUAUUCUACCGAUACAUACCUGUACAUUGUUAAUGUGUACUUCAGUGGAUAGAUCUAUACCAGGCAAACAGUGCGGAAAGAAAAGGCAUUUCUCAUAUCACUUCCUCAAUUUAAAGAACUGGGGCUACAAAUUACUUCACAAAACCAACCAACUAAUCAUGGACCAUGGUUCUCUAAGGCCCCCUCUACACUGUGCUUAUAUCCCAGGAUCUGAUCCCAGAUUAUCUAUUUAACCCAAAUCAUAUGGCAGUGUGGACUCAUAUAAUCCAGUUCAAAGCAGAUAAUGUAGAUUUUUUUUCUUCAGAAAGAAAAUCAAGAUUCUGUUAUCAAAUCUCUGGGUGAUUUCUUGUGACAUCCUGUAUCAAACACUUCCAUAAAGCAUCAAGACAACCCAGAUUCCUGAUGCCAUAUAAAUAACAAUGAUUGUUUCAUGGUGCUGGCAGCAAAGGAGUGAUCCUUUUGUUAUUUGUCUGUUUAGGUUGUGGUUGCAUGCCCUUUCUGUUAUGCUGUCUGCUCUUUAAAUUAAUAUUUGACGCUUAUGUUGGAUAAUGUUGUCACUCAUUAGUUUAGGCAACUCACAGCUGAGAGCAUCAGCAGUUUGGCUUAAACUGUGCAGAGCUGUUUGACUAUAAUAACAUUGCUCUUAAACUUAACCUGCACAGUACAGUGAUAAUAAAUCUACCUAUGCUGUUUGCACUGCACUCUCUUUUAUUACAGAUGGCAUUUUCCUGUAAAAGUUCAAAGCAAGCUUGACUUUUAUGAUCAGACACAUUCAUUAACCAGAGUAAGACUCCUUUCUGAUAAGAUGUUCUGUUUUAGCAAAGAGCCAGGAGGUGGCAGUGCUUUUUAAUAGAUGAGUGCAAAACAAAUAAAUAAAUAAAGUAAAUGUGCUUUUAUUAUUUUUUAAAAAAAAGAAUUGAGAGACAAGCAGGUCAGGGAAUGCAAUCUGAAGCUUUUGCUUGUUCAGUAAUUCAUGUUCUGGUGGGUAACUGUACUGAAUUUGAAGGGAUAACUGGCUUGAGAAAAGAUGAGCAAGAGAGAGCACAAAGCAAGCAAGCCAAAAAAUUAAAUCAUACAAAACAAAAUAUUAUGUCAGAAGGAAACUCAUGAACCAUCUAUUCAAUCCACUGGAAAAAAGAUGACUUCAUUAUACACACUUAUACAACUAUAUUUUUAGUGGAUUUUCCCCCCAUGAAACUGCAAUUUGCUUCUGGUGUGAGAGAAUUGGCGGUCUGCAUGGAUGUUGCUCAGGGGUCGCCCGGAUGUUUUGAUGUUUUACCAUCCUUGUGGAAGGCUUAUCUGGAGCUGAUAGAGGGAGCUCAUCCGCACGCUCCCCGCGUUGGAUUUGAACCGGCAACCUUCAAGUCAUCCCAACCUUCAAGUUAUCAGUCCUGCCAGCACUAGGGUUUAACCAACUGUGCCACUGGGGACUACUUUUUUAGUGGAUGUAAAGCUCAUUAUGUCUUUUUAGAGGAGAGUGAAGAGAUGUCUAUAUUUCUUAUGCAUAUGCAGGAGACCUGGAAAUAUCCUAUAGAAAACCAGUCAGCUUUCCCUUAGUAUUGUGGAGUGAAGAAUUCUGCUAUGAGAACUGCACAAUCCUGUUAGGUUCCCAAUAUGAAUGACCUGGAACGGUUUCUGAACUCAGUGGCCACUGAGCAUUCCUGUGAAGUGGAAUAUAUCUCAGUGGUUCCAGAACUUCCAAAGAGCAUUGAGGUUUGUCAGGAAUCAUCCCAAGCAGGACACCAGGGAAAUGUCAUUCAUGGAACUUGAUGGAAAAUCUUACCAUACCAAAGAUUUUUAGAAAAGCUUUUGAGUUCCUUAUUUUCCAACACCCCUCACACUUGAUGACACUAAUGCUUGUCACUCAAGGAAGCCCAGAAUUUGAAACAAGACUAGACUAGACUACAAAACUAGAUGUCUGAUUCCCAGUUUUCCUCAUUAGGUGACUCUGUAGGGAACAGGGUCUACUUGGAGGUGAGAGAAGCCAGGGAAGAAUUUGUUUAUCUUAUAACACAGCAGAGAAUGUGGGAGAAGUAAAGCUGCUCUAGACCACGUAAUGGACAAAGUCAUCCCUCAAGAUGUUGGAGUGUUGUUCCAGCAUUCUUCACCAAUGGGAUGCACUUUUGCCCCUCUCUUAAAUAUGCCUUCUUAUGAACCUUUGUCAUCAUUCCUAGGUUGAUCUUCAAUCCCAGCCCCACUUCAUGGUUUUGUCUGAUCUUCCUAGAUUUUAGUGCCCUCUUCAGCUAGUGGUCUAGAAGUUCUUUCCACCUCAAAUACGAAGUAAUCUGUGGAUUUGGGUAAAUUCUUACAAAAAAGAAAUAAUGUGAUCACAUCUCCAUGACCCAUUGUGUUUGCUCUAGAAGGGGCAUAGCUGCUGGUGAGGGGGAGGGAGAGUUUUGUCCCCAAAAAGAAAUCAAACCCUCUCCCCAAAAAGAAAUCAAACCCUCUCCCAUGAAAUUGUCUUUCAGUCUCUAAAUUUCUCGCUGUGCAGAUAGUAAGACACUAAAAAUCAUUCAGAUCAGAAGAUGCUUAACUCUUUUAUUAGAGGUUUUUACACAAGCGGUUGAAUAUAUAUUUAUAUGGAUGUUUUAAUUAAUAUUAUUGUUUUAAUUGUAAUUGUUUUUAUAUACUUUGUUUUAUACUUGGUUGUAAGCUGCCCUGAGUUCCCUUUCGGGGGUGAGAAGGGCAGGAUAUAAAUGUUUGUAAUAAGAAAUAAAUAAACCUCUCAGGGUGAUUUAAUUGUGGAUUUGGCUGGGGAUUGGACUACAUGGUCUUUGGGGUACCUUUCAGUUCUUACGUUUCUAUGGAAAGGGUUCAUAUAUUGAUACUCAGAAAGGCAGAGAUGCUUUCAUCGGGAUUGAAUUAAUGAAAGCUAAUUUGAAGUUUGAGCCAUCUUUCCCAUUCAGGCACAUUCAAUAGAAGACCACAAUCUGAAUUCUAUUGGUAAGCCUAACUAGAGUAGAUCAACUGAAUCUAUGGUGUUUGCAUAAGUGUUUGUUUACUCACGAUUCAAUGGUUUGACUUUAACAGAGACUAAUGGAAGGAUCCAGACAUAUGCCAACAAAAGCUGUGAUUGAUAUUUUGAACCUUUUCAUAAAUGUGCAUUAGCCAUGAGAAUGCUUCAAAAGGAAGGAAGAGUGUUAAAAACCCUGCUAUAAUUUGCUAUUUCUUGUUCGAAGUCAUCCCCCCCCCCCCCGAUAUACCAGUUUGUCACAUUCUCCCACAGGAUUUAACAACUGUGGGAUAGAAACAAAGGAAGUGCUAUAGGAGGCAGCUGAUAUGCCUAGAAGUCUCAAGAGAUUAAAUAAUAGAAAAUUAAGUGAAAUACAGAGCUUUCUGUGAAACUUACACACAUUUUCAGAAUAGUACAAGAAUAAAUAUGUUUUGGCACAGCAGGAGUCCAAAGAGGCUCUGGCAUCUCAAUUGGUGAUAUGACAACUUGCUUAAAAAAAGGAGAAAAAUCCUGAGCUCGGAAUAAAGUGAGUCAAACAAAUAAAAUCCCUGACAUAGAUUGAAAGAUGAAGAAAGUUAUUUCAGACAUGCAGUGCUGGGAUGAAACUGAAGUACUCAAAGCGAUUUCCCCCCAUUUACAAGUCUCCAGAUGACCUGAUCUGCCUUUUCUGUGAUGUACAACUGCAUCCUCAGUUGGUUCAGAUCAUGGAAACAUUAAAACAACAAGAGAAGGGACCCUCUGGUCCUAGGGCUGUUUGGGAUCCCAUUCUUGGCCACGUUCCCUUCCUCAUGACACCAUGGAGUGGAGUUUCUAUAAUAAAGUCUUAGUUUGUUUCUCCAAGACAUUGGUGUAUUUGCUCCUUAAUUAGGA